This 776-nucleotide ribosomal RNA is filed under the name uncultured Neocallimastigales. Its description in RNAcentral is "partial large subunit ribosomal RNA". It matches the Rfam family "Eukaryotic large subunit ribosomal RNA", at positions 24 to 647 of the family's 3401-position model. The record is from RNAcentral. Lineage: Eukaryota; Fungi; Neocallimastigomycota; Neocallimastigomycetes; Neocallimastigales.
GUAGUCUCGCACAGAUGCAUAUCAAUAAGCGGAGGAAAAGAAACUAACAAGGAUUCCCCUAGUAACGGCGAGUGAAGCGGGAAGAGCUCAAAUUUGAAAUCUUAAAGGGUUUCCCUUUACGAAUUGUAGUUUAAAGAAGUGUUUUCUGUUGAGGUUUUGGUAAAAGUUCUUUGGAAUAGGACAUCAUAGAGGGUGAGAAUCCCGUAUUUGACCUUUACUUUCAACUUUGUGAUACACUUUCAAAGAGUCGGAUUGUUUGGGAAUGCAGUCCAAAAUGGGUGGUAAAUUUCAUCUAAAGCUAAAUAUUGGCGAGAGACCGAUAGCGAACAAGUACCGUGAGGGAAAGAUUGAAAAAGAACUUUGAAAAGAGAGUUAAACAGUACGUGAAAUUGUCAAAAGGGAAGCGUUUGACACCAGUGUUGUUUUUCUGAAAAUUAAUUAAAGAACUGUUUAUGCUAAGCUGUUUAGACUUUAUCAGCUAUCUGUUUAGUUUUGAGCUUUUCUUUAAUGCACUUUUCAGUUAACAAGUCAACAUCAAUUUCUUUUGCUGUAAAAAAGCUUGAGGAAGGUGGCUUGAGAUUCGUCUUAAGUGUUUAUAGCCUCUUGCCUAUGCAGUCGGAGAGAUUGAGGUCUGCAGCGUAGAUCCUUCGGGGCUAAAUGCAUUUGUGCUAAGUUAUAACAUUUUAUAGACAACUUGUUGACUAUGAUUUGUCUUGUAGCUUACUCGCUUAUGUUAUUUUACCUACGCUUAGGAUGUUGAUCUGUAGUGCGUGCGC